ACUCCUACGGGAGGCAGCAGUGGGGAAUAUUGCACAAUGGGCGCAAGCCUGAUGCAGCCAUGCCGCGUGUGUGAAGAAGGCCUUCGGGUUGUAAAGCACUUUCAGUUGUGAGGAAAGGUUAGUCGCUAAUAUCGGCUAGCUGUGACGUUAGCAACAGAAGAAGCACCGGCUAACUCCGUGCCAGCAGCCGCGGUAAUACGGAGGGUGCGAGCGUUAAUCGGAAUUACUGGGCGUAAAGCGCGUGUAGGUGGCUUGUUAAGCCAGAUGUGAAAGCCCCGGGCUCAACCUGGGAACUGCAUUUGGAACUGGCAGGCUAGAGUUUUGUAGAGGGUGGUAGAAUUUCAGGUGUAGCGGUGAAAUGCGUAGAGAUCUGAAGGAAUACCGGUGGCGAAGGCGACCACCUGGCCAAUAACUGACACUGAGACGCGAAGGCGUGGGUAGCAAACGGGAUUAGAUACCCUGGUAGCUACGAGU
RNAcentral lists this ribosomal RNA (474 nucleotides) under uncultured bacterium. RNAcentral's name for it is "bacterial SSU rRNA". It matches the Rfam family "Bacterial small subunit ribosomal RNA", at positions 335 to 802 of the family's 1533-position model. The record is from RNAcentral.